Molecule: ribosomal RNA, 301 nt
Filed under: uncultured bacterium
Lineage: Bacteria
Description: partial 16S ribosomal RNA
Rfam family: Bacterial small subunit ribosomal RNA
Source: RNAcentral
CAGUAGCCGCGGGAUACGGAGGGGGCUAGCGUUGUUCGGAAUUACUGGGCGUAAAGCGCACGUAGGCGGCUUGGUAAGUUAGAGGUGAAAGCCCGGAGCUCAACUCCGGAAUUGCCUUUAAGACUGCCGAGCUAGUAGGUGAGAGAGGUGAGUGGAAUUCCGAGUGUAGAGGUGAAAUUCGUAGAUAUUCGGAAGAACACCAGUGGCGAAGGCGGCUCACUGGCUCAUUCUAGACGCUGAGGUGCGAAAGCGUGGGGAGCAAACAGGAUUAGAUACCCGCGUAGUCCCUGUCUCUUAUACA